This 240-nucleotide ribosomal RNA is filed under the name uncultured bacterium. RNAcentral describes it as "partial 16S ribosomal RNA". It matches the Rfam family "Bacterial small subunit ribosomal RNA", at positions 94 to 334 of the family's 1533-position model. The record is from RNAcentral.
AGUGGCGGACGGGUGAGUAACGCGUGGGUAACCUGCCUUGUACAGGGGGAUAACAGUUGGAAACGGCUGCUAAUACCGCAUAAGCGCACAGUACCGCAUGGUACGGUGUGAAAAACUCCGGUGGUAUGAGAUGGACCCGCGUCUGAUUAGCUAGUUGGUGGGGUAACGGCCCACCAAGGCGACGAUCAGUAGCCGACCUGAGAGGGUGACCGGCCACAUUGGGACUGAGACACGGCCCAG